This 426-nucleotide ribosomal RNA is filed under the name uncultured prokaryote. RNAcentral's name for it is "bacterial SSU rRNA". It matches the Rfam family "Bacterial small subunit ribosomal RNA", at positions 355 to 796 of the family's 1533-position model. The record is from RNAcentral.
UGGGGAAUUUUCCGCAAUGGGCGAAAGCCUGACGGAGCAAUACCGCGUGAGGGAGGAAGGCUUUUGGGUUGUAAACCUCUUUUCUCAAGGAAGAAGUUCUGACGGUACUUGAGGAAUCAGCAUCGGCUAACUCCGUGCCAGCAGCCGCGGUAAUACGGAGGGAGCUAGCGUUGUUCGGAAUUACUGGGCGUAAAGCGCGCGUAGGCGGCGUAUCAAGUCAGGGGUGAAAUCCCGGGGCUCAACCCCGGAACUGCCCUUGAAACUAGUAUGCUAGAAUACUGGAGAGGUGAGUGGAAUUCCGAGUGUAGAGGUGAAAUUCGUAGAUAUUCGGAAGAACACCAGUGGCGAAGGCGACUCACUGGACAGUUAUUGACGCUGAGGUGCGAAAGCGUGGGGAGCAAACAGGAUUAGAUACCCGUGUAGUCC